Sus scrofa (pig) is the source of this 4339-nucleotide non-coding RNA. The record is from RefSeq and is a predicted model, not a curated record. NCBI's taxonomy places the organism in Eukaryota, Metazoa, Chordata, Mammalia, Artiodactyla, Suidae.
GAGGGUGGGGGAAAAGGGUCAGAAGUCGCUUGUGGCCUUCGAAUCCGAAAGCAUUAUUCUAACUCGUCAUUUAGCCCUCCCUCGAGAUCACGGAAGUAUCUAGCCGUGUCCCACACAACUUUUUCUGUUUUGUUUUGCUCUAACAAAGAGUUGGAGUUUCAAUUGUUUUUCAAGACAAACACUACCUUUGGUAUUGGUUUUGAGAAAUAAUUUGUCAGAAUAUCUACUCUAUGCCAACAAGAGCACACUAUGGCCAAGCGAGUUGCAGUGAUUGGAGCUGGUGUGAGUGGCCUGUCUUCCAUCAAAUGCUGCUUAGAUGAGGACCUGGAGCCAACCUGCUUUGAAAGAAGUAAUGACUUCGGGGGACUGUGGAAGUUUACUGAAACUUCUGAAGAUGGGAUGACCAGGGUCUACAAGUCAUUAGUGACAAAUGUCUGCAAAGAAAUGUCAUGUUACAGUGACUUCCCCUUCCAAGAAGAUUAUCCCAAUUUCAUGAACCAAGAAAAAUUUUGGAACUACCUCCAAGAAUUUGCUGAGCACUUUGACCUUCUGAAAUACAUUCAGUUUAGGACCACAGUGUGCAGUGUAACAAAGUGUCCUGACUUCUCCAAGACUGGUCAGUGGGAUGUCGUCACAGAGACAGAGGGGAAGCAGUACAGAGCUGUCUUUGAUGCUGUCAUGGUUUGCACUGGACGCUUCCUGAAUCCCCAUUUACCUUUAGAAUCAUUUCCCGGAAUCUAUAGGUUUAAAGGGCAGAUCCUGCACAGUCAACAGUACAAGAGCCCAGAACGCUUUCAGGGCAAACGCAUCUUAGUGAUUGGUCUUGGAAACACUGGAGGAGACAUUGCAGUGGAGCUCAGUCGAACAGCAGCUCAGGUACUUCUCAGUACUAGAACUGGUACCUGGGUUGUCAACCGCUCUUCAGAUGGGGGCUACCCAUUUAAUAUGAUGAUUACAAGAAGACACCAUAAUUUUGUUGCACAAGUUCUGCCUUCAUGUGUACUAAAAUGGAUUCAAGAGAAGCACUUGAAUAAAAGAUUUGACCAUGCAAAUUAUGGAUUAAGUAUUACAAAGGGGUAUUUGAUUUUUUUGUUUAAUGGUAAAUGUAUUGAAUCAGUAUUUCUCAUCCUAUUUUAUUCAGAAUUCAAAAUGUUCAAUAAUUGCCUUUGUUUAAUCCUGUUCUAAGCUUAUUUUCUUUAGAAUGUCCAUCAAUACCACAGCAGUUCUUAAAAAUAGGAGUAUUCUGUCUGGUAAAAAAAGUAAUAAUUCAUGAGGCUAGAAGAAAAUGAAGAAUGAAAACUUUAUUUCAAGUUUUCAAAUCAAGAAACUUAAACUGGGAGUUCCCGUCGUGGUUAAUGAAUCCGACUAGGAACCACGAAGUUGAGGGUUCGAUCCCUGCCCUUGCUCAGUGAGUUAACGAUCCGGCGUUGCGGUGAGCUGUGGUGUAGGUCGCAGACGCGGCUCUGGCAUAGGCUGGUGGCUGCAGCUCCGAUUAGACCCCUAGCCUGGGAACCUCCAUAUGCCGUGGGAGCGGCCCAAGAAAAGACAAAAAAACAAAAAACAAAAAAACAAACAAACAAAAAAAAGAAACUUAAACUGGCCUUGAGGAAUCUCAGGAUGGCUGCCAGCUACAUCUCCAAUUCAACCCCUAGCCUGGGAACUUCCAUGUGCUGCUGGUGUGGCCCUUAAAAAAAAAAAAUGAGAAGCAAGAAAUCCAAUAGAAAACUGGACAAAGAAUUAGAAUAGGCAAAUUACAGAAGGAGGAAUCUGAAUGUCUAAAAAGAAAAAAGAAGAAAAGAAAAGAUGCUCAAACUCUCUAUUGAUCAAAAAUGAAAAAACCAAAAAGAAUUGUGAAUGAUGAGCUGCCAACCUGUAUCCUCUGUGGCACAGUCACUAUGAAAACCAGCGUGAAGGAGUUUGCAGAAAACUCUGUUCUCUUUGAAGAUGGGACCAUGGAAAGAAACAUUGACAUUGUGAUCUUUGCUACAGGAUAUACCUUUUCUUUUCCUUUUCUUGAAGAGCCUCUCAAAAGCCUUUGUACAAAGAAGAUAUUUCUAUACAAACAGGUCUUUCCCUCAAACCUAGAGAGGACAACACUUGCCAUGAUUGGCUUCAUUGGCCUUACAGGAUCCAUCUUAGCAGGAACAGAGCUCCAAGCACGAUGGGCUACACGAGUAUUCAAAGGACUCUGUAAGCUGCCUCCAUCUCAGAAAUUGAUGGCUGAGGCUAUGCAAAAGGAGCAGCUCAUAGAAAGGGGUUUGAUGAAAGAUACCAAGGAAGACAAACUUGACUACAUUUCCUACCUGGAUGACAUCGCUGCUUGCAUAGGUGCAAAGCCCAAUGUCCCACUUCUGUUCCUUAAGGAUCCCAGACUAGCUUGGGAAGUUUUCUUUGGACCAUGUACUCCUUACCAGUAUCGCCUAAUGGGCCCUGGGAAAUGGCAUGGAGCCAGAAAUGCCAUCCUGACUCAGUGGGACAGGACACUGAAACCCUUGAAAACACGAAUAGUUCCUGAUUCCUCCAGGCCUGCCUCCUUGUCACAUUAUUUGAAAGCUUGGGGGGUACCUAUCCUGUUUGCCUCCUUUCUACUGAUCCAUAAAUCUUCACUUUUUUUGAAAUUGGUGCCAGAAAAACUAUAGGACAAAAUUUCCCCUUACCUAAUAAGUAUUUGGUGAGGAUUAGUUGAUGGAUUAUAAGGGUUUUACCAAGUCAUAUUCACUCUUGUCCCCAAACAUCUUGCAUUUUCCUCCUCUCCAUUGUAACUGCUAUCAGCCAAGUUCAGGUCUAACCACCUCUUACCUGAACUAUUGUACUAUCUUCUCCUUUAGUCUCAGCACUUCCUUUCUUAUCUCCUUUUCAAUUCAUAUUCUACUCUGCUACCUAAGCAAUCAUUCUAAAAUAAAAAUAUUGUCUUUGUUUCCCUCAAGAUCCCCAUGGGAGUAAGAUAAAACUCAGAUAAAUUGUGCAAUAAUUUUUGAUUUAAUUUUUGAUGUAAAAAUUAUGUCCAAUGGUUUGGGCAGAAUGUAGGGAAAUUGUAACAGUGAGGUGCUUUUACCAUCUUGUAGGCCUAAUGAGGCAAGAGGAAAAAACAAUUAUGAAUAAGAGAGAGAGAAAUUAUGUCAAGAGGACUGCCUCUCAAGAGCUAUGACCAUCAGCUGACCAAUAAAAGCAGUUCAUGGUGAUCCCAAAAGUACAGAGCUUGGGAAAUAAAUUGCCUAAUCUUACUCUCUUCCCUCCCUCUGAUCCUCUGCUCAUGCUCCGCAAUGGCCUGAUCCAACCAAACUCAACGGCAAGGUUGCUGACUAUUGUGGAUUGAAUUACAGCAAACCCCCCCGCUCACCCGGCAAGAUAUAUUCAAAUCCUAACCCCUGGUACCUGUGAAUGUGACCUUAUUUGGAAAUAGGAUCUUUGCAAAUGUAUGUAAGUUAAGAGGCGAUCAUACCAAAGCAGGGUGAUCUAGAUCCAAUAUGACUGCUGUCCUUGUAAGAAGAGCAUCAGACAGAGACACAUAGUGGAGAAUGCCAUGUGAGUUUAAGAAGAGGGUAGAGUGAUGCAUCUACAAACAGGAUCACCAAGCAAGCAAACACUGGAAGCUAGGAGAGAGUCAUGGAACAGAUUCUCCCUCAAAACCUCUAGAGAGAACAACCCUACCAACAACAACUUCAGACUCCUAGCCCUCAGAGCUGUGAAAGAAUAAGCCACUCAGUUUGUGGUACUUUGUUACAACAAUCCUAGGAUACCAAUACACUCGCUGAUGUUGUCCCUGGAGAUCAGCUUCCUAAGCCACCCAGCAGAGCAAAGAUGACAGAGAAUAUAUAUUAAAGAGCAACCAGAAAGGAUCCAGUGCAGACAUGUUCCCAUCAAACUUAAAAAUCUUUUAAAGUUUCUCUCUUGAUUAAAGAUAGUAAAUUCCUUAACUUGAAAGAGGAGACUCUUCAUGAUCUGAGUCCCUUUGCCCAGGUCACCAGAAUCCUGCCCUGCAGUCUCCCCUCCUCUUCAAACCCUACAUCCAGUUCCACCAAAUAUGAACUGUGUGGUACCUCCUUACUUAGGCACAAGCUAUUUCCUCUUUCAGCCACUUAAAUCCACACCUGACUGUCUUUCAAGAUAGAGCUUAAUAAUCUCCCUCAGUGAAGCCGCCCCUGAAUCCCCAAAGCAAAUUUGACUGCCGUUUUGUAAUGAUCACACCUCAUGUAUUAGUAUGUUCUUUCCUUACUAUAGAAUCAUUUUCUUUUUGUGUCUAUCUCCUAAUGAACAGUGCAUUCUUGAGAGGAAUCAUAUCUUGUUCAGCUAAAACACUGACUGAUAAAGACUGCAAAAUAAAUAUUUGUUGACUGAA